CCUACGGGUGGCAGCAGUGGGGAAUAUUGGGCAAUGGGCGCAAGCCUGACCCAGCAACGCCGCGUGAAGGAAGAAGGCUUUCGGGUUGUAAACUUCUUUUAAGAGGGAAGAGCAGAAGACGGUACCUCUUGAAUAAGCCACGGCUAACUACGUGCCAGCAGCCGCGGUAAUACGUAGGUGGCCAGCGUUGUCCGGAUUUACUGGGUGUAAAGGGCGUGUAGCCGGGCUGACAAGUCAGAUGUGAAAUCCCGUGGCUCAACCACGGAACUGCAUUUGAAACUGUCGGUCUUGAGUAUCGGAGAGGCAGGCGGAAUUCCUAGUGUAGCGGUGAAAUGCAUAGAUAUCACACAGAACACCGAUUGCGAAGGCAUCUCACGAAUCCGCGAUUGACGCUGAUGCACGAAAGCGUGGGUAUCAAACAGGAUUAGAUACCCCAGUAGUC
Molecule: ribosomal RNA, 442 nt
Filed under: uncultured bacterium
Lineage: Bacteria
Description: partial 16S ribosomal RNA
Rfam family: Bacterial small subunit ribosomal RNA
Source: RNAcentral